CCUUGGAUCUGCUUCAAUGAGGUUCGACGGCUAAGAUAAAGUCCAGGGUUUUCACCCUUUUCUAAGCCUCCAACUCGUGAACUCGGCAAAUUUCCAAUUUCUUCUCUUCCUCUCGCUCGCUCUCUCUCUCUCUCUCUCUCUCUCUCGCUCAGAGAAUUCACUCGAUUUUCAUGUCAAGCACAUCUCUUGCAUCAACUUCUCUAGAAAUCAGCAAUUUACAAGGAAAUAGUCCAUCAAUCCAGAGCAAUCCCACCGCCAUUGAUUGGAAGAGAUGUUGUCGGAGCUGCAAGGAUGGAGUCCGGGAAGACUCUUGCUUUUCUAUUUCCAGCUAUCUAGUUGUAUAAACAUGCAUAGCCUAUGUUUGUGCCCUAUCCUCUUAUUUGUUCCUAAAGUGUAUACCUUUUCUCUUUGUUUUUGUUGAUAUGAUGUUGGGCUAUGCAAAUUCAAGUUCAAAAACAAUGGCUAUAAUCUCUUUCUUACUGAUUGAAUAGAAAAUUGAAGUUCACAUACUUGCAUUUUGGUUUAGUCUAAUCUGCGUGUUUGCUUGUAACAGCUUGAUCAGAAGAAAGCUCGUUGAUAAUGCAUACAGAUUGAAACUUUAGGAACAAAUAAGAGGGUAGGGCACAAACAUAGCAAUCCCACCGCCAUUGAUUGGAAGAGAUGUGCUCGGAGCUGCAAGGAUAGGUUUCGGGAAAACUCUUGCUUUUCUAGUACCAGCUAUUUUGUUGUUAUAUAAUGCAAGUUGUUCUUCUCGCAAUGGAGCUGGUGUUGUUGUGAUUUGCCCAACUAGGGAACUCGUAAUACAGGUGAAGACCCUUGCUUAUUGAUGAAUAAUGAUACUAUGAGUUAUCCCUUACUUAUUAGUGAAUAAUGAUACUAUGAUUUACUUAGGUUUGAUGUGGAAUUUGUUCUUAUAUUUCUUUACGUUAGUGUAGUCACGCUUGAUCCAAUUUGGGCUUGUUAGAAGUAUUGCUUUUAGUUCGUUUAACGUCUAGGAGAUCAUGAUACCUGUCUUGGGAAUGGGUUUUAUGAAUAAUGUUUCUUCUAUGAUUGAGGUAUAAGCUUGAACGAUUAUGCUUUGAAUGCGAAUGCGGAAUCAUAUAUUGGACCAUUCUGAAAUUUUAGAAUCCGAAUGGAAAUAUUGGAACUGUAUUGUUUUGUUUCAAUGCAUUGUUAUUGUUAAUCACCUAAUCUUUAAGAAUGUCCAACAUUUUGCAAGGAAUGACUCGUAUUCGGCGAAUUAGUAUAGAGCUAAAGCUCCAACACUUGUGAAAACUCAAGGACUGUAGUCCUCCAUGGUGUUUGCUGUGGAAUCUAAUAAUUGGUUGGUUUGAUAUCAAAUUAUGGCGAUUUUGUGACCUUAUAGUUAGUGGCUAGGUUGCACGUAUUGUUAUAUGCUAGGCAAGUUGUGUGUAGACUGCAGACAUAGAAGAAAUUAAAGCUCAUUAGUUGUACCAUGUAGACACCAAUUCUCUUCUGCUAAUGACGGUGUCUGACAAGUUCUUGCUAAUAAGUAAAGUUUAUGAUCUGUUGAGCAAUGAGGAGAGCCAUGUCAAAUGCAUCCUAAGCCACACAUCAUGCUUUCCAGGAGGCCAUUGAACUAUCAGCAACAACAGGAGAACCAUGAUGUGCUUACAAAGUGAUUGUUGUAAUGAAGCAGACCUUGUAAUCUUUAUAACUGAAAUGCUAGAUAAGAAGAGGUUAUUAUAUUCUAAAAGUAAUUUGGAUGAUGUUUAUGUCCUUGCACACGUGUAGUGUAAUCCUCUCUGGAGAAUUGCAAGUCUUUAGUGACUUCCGACUACAGUAAAUUGUGGCGUGUUACUAUGUAAGCUGUGGUGUUGGUGAAUUUAUUUCGUCGGAUUGGUAUCCUCUAGUUUUUGUUUA
Long non-coding RNA from Rosa rugosa (rugosa rose), 1884 nucleotides. RefSeq lists it as uncharacterized. Lineage: Eukaryota; Viridiplantae; Streptophyta; Magnoliopsida; Rosales; Rosaceae. The transcript is spliced from 2 exons. The record is from RefSeq and is a predicted model, not a curated record.